GAUGAACGCUGGCGGCGUGCCUAAUACAUGCAAGUCGAGCGGACGGACGAGAAGCUUGCUUCUCUGAUGUUAGCGGCGGACGGGUGAGUAACACGUGGAUAACCUACCUAUAAGACUGGGAUAACUUCGGGAAACCGGAGCUAAUACCGGAUAAUAUUUUGAACCGCAUGGUUCAAAAGUGAAAGACGGUCUUGCCGUCACUUAUAGAUGGAUCCGCGCUGCAUUAGCUAGUUGGUAAGGUAACGGCUUACCAAGGCAACGAUGCAUAGCCGACCUGAGAGGGUGAUCGGCCACACUAGAACUGAGACACGGUCCAGACUCCUACGGGAGGCAGCAGUAGGGAAUCUUCCGCAAUGAGCGAAAGCCUGACGGAGUAACGCCGCGUGAGUGAUGAAGGUCUUCGGAUCGUAAAACUCUGUUAUUAGGGAAGAACAUAUGUGUAAGUAACUGUGCACAUCUUGACGGUACCUAAUCAGAAAGCCACGGCUAACUACGUG
Molecule: ribosomal RNA, 497 nt
Filed under: uncultured bacterium
Lineage: Bacteria
Description: partial 16S ribosomal RNA
Rfam family: Bacterial small subunit ribosomal RNA
Source: RNAcentral